GAUGAACGCUGGCGGCGUGCCUAAUACAUGCAAGUCGAGCGAACGGACGCGAAGUUUGCUUCUCUGAUGUUAGCGGCGGACGGGUGAGUAACACGUGGAUAACCUCCCUAUAAUACGGGGAUAACUUCGGGAAACCGGAGCUAAUACCGGAUAAUAUUUUGAACCGCAGGGUUCAAAAGUGAAAGACGGUGUUGGUGGCAGUUAUCGAUGGAUCUGCGCUGCAUUGGCUAGUUGGGAAGGUAACGGCUUACCAAGGCAACGAUGCAUAGCCGACCGGAGGGGCGGGUAGGCGACCCUAGAACGUAGACACGGUCCUGGCUCCUGCGGGAGGCAGCAGUAGCGUAUCUUCCGCAGUGGGCGAAAGCCUGACGGAGCGACGCCGCGUGAGAGGUGGAGGUCUUCGGAUCGUAAUACUCUGUUACUAGGGAAGAACAUAUGUGUAAGUAACUGAGCCCAUCUUGACGGUAACUAAUCAGAAAGCAACGGCUAACUACGUG
RNAcentral lists this ribosomal RNA (497 nucleotides) under uncultured bacterium. RNAcentral describes it as "partial 16S ribosomal RNA". It matches the Rfam family "Bacterial small subunit ribosomal RNA", at positions 28 to 507 of the family's 1533-position model. The record is from RNAcentral.